AUUGAACGCUGGCGGCAUGCCUUACACAUGCAAGUCGAACGGCAGCGCGGGCUUCGGCCUGGCGGCGAGUGGCGAACGGGUGAGUAAUACAUCGGAACGUGCCCAGUAGUGGGGGAUAGCUCGGCGAAAGCCGGAUUAAUACCGCAUACGACCUGAGGGUGAAAGCGGGGGAUCUUCGGACCUCGCGCUAUUGGAGCGGCCGAUGGCAGAUUAGCUAGUUGGUGGGGUAAAGGCCUACCAAGGCGACGAUCUGUAGCUGGUCUGAGAGGACGACCAGCCACACUGGGACUGAGACACGGCCCAGACUCCUACGGGAGGCAGCAGUGGGGAAUUUUGGACAAUGGGCGAAAGCCUGAUCCAGCAAUGCCGCGUGUGUGAUGAAGGCCUUCGGGUUGUAAAGCACUUUUGGCGGGAACGAAAAGGACUGUGCCAAUACCACGGUUCGAUGACGGUACCCGCAGAAUAAGCACCGGCUAACUACGUG
Molecule: ribosomal RNA, 484 nt
Filed under: uncultured bacterium
Lineage: Bacteria
Description: partial 16S ribosomal RNA
Rfam family: Bacterial small subunit ribosomal RNA
Source: RNAcentral